Molecule: ribosomal RNA, 465 nt
Filed under: uncultured bacterium
Lineage: Bacteria
Description: partial 16S ribosomal RNA
Rfam family: Bacterial small subunit ribosomal RNA
Source: RNAcentral
CUACGGGUUGCAGCAGUGGGGAAUAUUGGACAAUGGGCGCAAGCCUGAUCCAGCCAUGCCGCGUGUGUGAAGAAGGCCUUUUGGUUGUAAAGCACUUUAAGCGAGGAGGAGGCUUACCUGGUUAAUACCUGGGAUAAGUGGACGUUACUCGCAGAAUAAGCACCGGCUAACCCUGUGCCAGCAGCCGCGGUAAUACAGAGGGUGCGAGCGUUAAUCGGAAUUACUGGGCGUAAAGCGCGCGUAGGCGGUUUGUUAAGUCGGAUGUGAAAUCCCCGGGCUCAACCUGGGAAUUGCAUUCGAUACUGGCAAGCUAGAGUAUGGGAGAGGAAGGUAGAAUUCCAGGUGUAGCGGUGAAAUGCGUAGAGAUCUGGAGGAAUACCGAUGGCGAAGGCAGCCUUCUGGCCUAAUACUGACGCUGAGGUGCGAAAGCAUGGGGAGCAAACAGGAUUAGAUACCCGAGUAGUC